RNAcentral lists this transfer RNA (73 nucleotides) under Wallemia mellicola CBS 633.66. It matches the Rfam family "tRNA". From Rfam's summary of the family: Transfer RNA (tRNA) molecules are approximately 80 nucleotides in length. Their secondary structure includes four short double-helical elements and three loops (D, anti-codon, and T loops). Lineage: Eukaryota; Fungi; Basidiomycota; Wallemiomycetes; Wallemiales; Wallemiaceae. RNAcentral also lists the same sequence under 2 other names. The record is from Rfam by way of RNAcentral.
GCCUCGCUAGCUCAAUCGGUAGAGCGUGAGACUUUUAAUCUCAAGGCUGCGGGUUCGAGCCCCGCGUGGGGCU